UACGGGGGGUGCGAGCGUUGUCCGGAAUCACUGGGCGUAAAGGGCGCGUAGGUGGUCUGAUAAGGGUGUGGUGAAAGCCCGGGGCUCAACCCCGGGUCGGCCGUGCCGACUGUUAGACUAGAGUGCUGUAGGGGCAGGCGGAAUUCCGGGUGUAGCGGUGGAAUGCGUAGAGAUCCGGAGGAAGACCGGUGGCGAAGGCGGCCUGCUGGGCAGAUACUGACACUGAGGCGCGACAGCGUGGGGAGCAAACAGG
This 253-nucleotide ribosomal RNA is filed under the name uncultured bacterium. RNAcentral's name for it is "partial 16S ribosomal RNA". It matches the Rfam family "Bacterial small subunit ribosomal RNA", at positions 524 to 776 of the family's 1533-position model. The record is from RNAcentral.